This is a long non-coding RNA of Zootoca vivipara (common lizard), 338 nucleotides long. RefSeq lists it as uncharacterized. NCBI's taxonomy places the organism in Eukaryota, Metazoa, Chordata, Lepidosauria, Squamata, Lacertidae. The record is from RefSeq and is a predicted model, not a curated record.
AGCAAGUCUUAAACACAAAAUCUCUAUGCUGCUGUUUUUCAUUUGCCAGUGUGGGCCAUAUAAUCCACAGAUGCCAGAAGCGAGCCCUAAAUGGCCUCGGUCCAGUAUACCUGAAGGAGCGUCUCCACCUCCAUCAUUUUGCCCGGACACUGAGGUCCAGCACUGAGGGCCUUCUGGCGGUUCCCUCGUUGUGAGAAGCCAAGUUGCAGGGAACUAGGCAGAGGGCCUUCUCGGUGGUGGCACCUGCCCUGUGGAACGCCCUCCCAACAGAUGUCAAAGAGGAAAACAACUACCAGACUUUUAGAAGACAUCUGAAGGCAGCCCUGUUCAGGGAGGCU